This 651-nucleotide ribosomal RNA is filed under the name uncultured bacterium. Its description in RNAcentral is "bacterial SSU rRNA". It matches the Rfam family "Bacterial small subunit ribosomal RNA", at positions 28 to 690 of the family's 1533-position model. The record is from RNAcentral.
GACGAACGCUGGCGGCGUGCUUAACACAUGCAAGUCGAACGGAAAGGCCCUGCUUUUGUGGGGUGCUCGAGUGGCGAACGGGUGAGUAACACGUGAGUAACCUGCCCUUGACUUUGGGAUAACUUCAGGAAACUGGGGCUAAUACCGGAUAGGAGCUCCUGCUGCAUGGUGGGGGUUGGAAAGUUUCGGCGGUUGGGGAUGGACUCGCGGCUUAUCAGCUUGUUGGUGGGGUAGUGGCUUACCAAGGCUUUGACGGGUAGCCGGCCUGAGAGGGUGACCGGCCACAUUGGGACUGAGAUACGGCCCAGACUCCUACGGGAGGCAGCAGUGGGGAAUAUUGCACAAUGGGCGGAAGCCUGAUGCAGCAACGCCGCGUGCGGGAUGACGGCCUUCGGGUUGUAAACCGCUUUCGCCUGUGACGAAGCGUGAGUGACGGUAAUGGGUAAAGAAGCACCGGCUAACUACGUGCCAGCAGCCGCGGUGAUACGUAGGGUGCGAGCGUUGUCCGGAUUUAUUGGGCGUAAAGGGCUCGUAGGUGGUUGAUCGCGUCGGAAGUGUAAUCUUGGGGCUUAACCCUGAGCGUGCUUUCGAUACGGGUUGACUUGAGGAAGGUAGGGGAGAAUGGAAUUCCUGGUGGAGCGGUGGAAUGCG